Long non-coding RNA from Amphiprion ocellaris (clown anemonefish), 1073 nucleotides. Lineage: Eukaryota; Metazoa; Chordata; Actinopteri; Pomacentridae. The record is from Ensembl.
AAACUGGCUCGAGCAUAACAUCACUACUGGUAGCAUCUCUGGCUCCUUGUUUUUGGAGUAAAACACGGUGGAAGCUGAAUUAGUGAGGAUGACUCCUGCUCCUGUCAUUUCUAAGCUCCUCACACAUCUUUACCUGCACAUGAGGAAAAUCACUCCUGUAGAAUGCAGAUGUUCAGAGGGAGAUGAUGCCACAUCUGGUCCAGCUGAUGGAAGGUCUUGAAGUUCUCUGACUGGCCUCGACUGAAGAUGGUCGUCUCACUGGAUUUAAGGUUCAGAUGCUCAGUAACAAACUCCACCAAUGAGCCAACAGGGAAGCUUUAGGUUUAUUAAAUGUUGUUAUGAAGGUUUCGCUGUUUUUCUUUGUGAAUGCAAUGUGCUCCAACUGAAACUUGAAUUAGAACUUAGAAGUAAAUCCUUCCACCUGAAAGCAUUUAGUUGCAUUAAUAACCUCAUAACAUUCUAAUUUUCAUUCCGGUCUUGGUUGGAAAUAGAAUCUCUGUAUUGAUUCAGGUAAAAACUGAACUUCACAGCAUGUUGGAGCAAAACAACCAGAUGAAAACUGUGAUGGUGUUGGAUUGUCAGGCCGUAAUGUUGCAGCUCAAAGCAGCUUUUCUAUCUCGGUUUAUUCUGACAUUCAGCUAUGAAUCAACACAGCAGAUGGUGAUCCAUGCUGUGGAAGUCUCACAUCUCCUGAUUUAAUGGAGCUGCUUUGCACUUUUUACACUGUUUAUUCACCAACACUUUAUUUAAUAAAAGUCCCAUCUAGUUUUUAUGAGGAAUGUGGUGUUUUCAGGGAUGAGAAUUUUCCGCGGAUCCGCGGAAUUCCGAGUUUUUUUCCGCCGAAAGUAUAGUUUUUGUGAAUCGUGUAAAUCCGUUGAGAAAAUUGUAGGGGGGUAGGGGUAGGCAAGCGGCCGGCCGGCCGACGCGUCGCGAGCCGAGGCUUGUGAUGGCCAUCCCGCCGCCGACAUCUUUCGGCAACGCGCAUUGCAAAAUCAGAUACAGCUGUGAGAACGGAAAUCGGCAUUGCUAUCUGUAAACAUCACUCGCUAUUUAUGUUAAUGACAACAUCCGCC